Molecule: ribosomal RNA, 472 nt
Filed under: uncultured bacterium
Lineage: Bacteria
Description: partial 16S ribosomal RNA
Rfam family: Bacterial small subunit ribosomal RNA
Source: RNAcentral
AACGAACGCUGGCGGCAUGCCUAACACAUGCAAGUCGAACGAGACCUUCGGGUCUAGUGGCGCACGGGUGCGUAACGCGUGGGAACCUGCCCUUAGGUUCGGAAUAACUCCCCGAAAGGGGUGCUAAUACCGGAUAAUGUCUUCGGACCAAAGAUUUAUCGCCUUUGGAUGGGCCCGCGUUGGAUUAGCUAGUUGGUAGGGUAAAAGCCUACCAAGGCGACGAUCCAUAGCUGGUCUGAGAGGAUGAUCAGCCACACUGGGACUGAGACACGGCCCAGACGCCGAGGGGAGGAAGCAGGGGGGAAUAGGGGACGAGGGGCGAAACCCAGAUCCAGCAGGGGCGGGUGAGGGAUGAAGGCGUGUGGGUUGUAAAGUGCUUGUACACGGAAUGAUAAUGACAGGACCGGGAGAAUAAGCUCCGGCUAGCCCCGUGCCAGGAGCCGCUGAAAUAAUCGGCGACACACUCCUGACC